Molecule: small nucleolar RNA, 92 nt
Filed under: Ananas comosus (pineapple)
Lineage: Eukaryota; Viridiplantae; Streptophyta; Magnoliopsida; Poales; Bromeliaceae
Description: Small nucleolar RNA R44/J54/Z268 family
Rfam family: Small nucleolar RNA R44/J54/Z268 family
About the family: R44, J54 and Z268 are members of the C/D class of snoRNA which contain the C (UGAUGA) and D (CUGA) box motifs. Most of the members of the box C/D family function in directing site-specific 2'-O-methylation of substrate RNAs.
Source: Rfam by way of RNAcentral
GAAGCAGAUGACGAGAAGCAAGACAGGGACAUCAGCAUUCCUCUCAUUGGAGGAUGAUGACUAAGUCUACAUGGGAAUCUCUCUGAUGCUCA